RNAcentral lists this unclassified non-coding RNA (1676 nucleotides) under Leishmania donovani. RNAcentral describes it as "gene:LdHU3.19.2000(CDS-product:ATG8/AUT7/APG8/PAZ 2_putative)". The record is from RNAcentral. Lineage: Eukaryota; Euglenozoa; Kinetoplastea; Trypanosomatida; Trypanosomatidae.
AAGCACAGCCACCCAUCACACACCCACAAGCCACACUCGUCAUCUUCUCUUCGACCCACUCAAUCCUCUUCCAUUUGUUGCACUGACACGCACGCUAUUACGGCUACCCGUGCCAACGCCGGCGAGAGAACAACGAAAGAGGGCGCAAGCGUGCGCAUACAUCUCUCCGUUCUCUUUUUGGUACUCCCCCGCUCUGCACGUUUGUUCACGAGCGCGUCAGCAUGUCUUCCAGAGUAGCUGGGUCGUACAAGAAGGCGCACACGCUGGAGGCGCGCCUGCGCGAUGCGGAAAAGGUCCGUGAGCGUGCUCCCGAUCGCAUUCUCGUGAUUUGCGAGAAGGCAGAAAACUCACCCGUUCCUGAUCUGGACAAGAGCAAGUUCUUGGUACCGCCGGACGCGACCGUUGGCGGCUUUCUCGUGAGCAUCCGUCGUCGCAUCACCAUGGAGGCCGAGAAGGCGCUCUUUCUCUUUGUGGGUGACAGCGUCCCGGCAAACAGCACUCUCAUGAGCGACCUCUUCAAUCGCUACAAGGAUGAGGACGGGUUCUUGUACGUGACGUACUCUGGUGAGAACACGUACGGCUGGCAGGGGCUGCACUAGAGGUCGGGAUUGUGCGUCGCACACCCCCACCCCCAGUUUCCCACGAGACACAUUUGUUGCUGCACAUGCGUGCGCGUUCGCGUGUGUAUCUGCCGUCGCCCGUGAAGGCGGAGACCCGUUGCCGCCGCUGCCCCUCUUGCUCUGGCUCCCUUUGCUUUUCUCCCUUCCCGCGCGCGCGUUUUCUUUCCCCUACACACACCUCCACCUACAGUGUGGCAUGAAUUUCUGCUUUCGUUUUUCCUUCGCUUUCUUGCGUUUGAAAUAUCCCGCACCUCCGUCAGAGAUGAACAGCGCCCACGUGCAUGACACACACCACGACAUACAUACGCCGAUGUCUCUCCCUCUCCCUCUCUUCCUGCUCGCUGCUUGUUUUGUUUGCCCACUUCUCUUGUUUAGCUCGUUGUAUGUGCGUUUUGCUUUCUUUUCUCGCUUCAUCUCUGUGUAUGUGUGUGUGCUGUGCAUAUGAUGGCGGCAUCUCGGCUUGCGUGCCCGCACGAAUGCUUCCCUUGUCACGGUAUUCAGGUUGCAUAGGAGAAGGGGGGGGGACUACAUCGACUCUUCCGCUGUAGUGGGGGUAUUACGGACGUGAGUUGUAUGCCCUUUGGCAUUUUCGCGGCGACUUGUUUUUCUACGUAGAUGUUUGCGGCGAACGCGACCUUUAUGAAAUAGAGAGUGCUGACGAAUCCGAGCACAGACUCGCGCACACCCACAAGGUCAUGCGUCGAUCGGCACCGGCGGCACUGCCGCCGCAACGGUGGAAAAGCCGGUGGCUCCGUAAGAGGGACAGGAGAAGGAGUAGUGCUGGAUAAGGCGAGUGCAAACCCUGCGACCCCAUCUUGUUCCAUCACCGAGUCUCGCGCACGUCUCCUCAAUCUUUUUUUUUUCUCUUGCUCUCUCUGCGUCGAUAGCGCUCUUUGCCUCUGUGCGCCACUUCGCCCCUCUCGCCGUGUGCCCAUCGGCACAUCUUAUCAUGUCUCUCUCCCUCGCUCGCUUGCCAUCUCUUUUUCUGUGCUGCCACUUUUCUUUUUCACUCCGCGUGCCUGGGCGAGGAUUCUGAGGUGAACGAAAUCACGUAAG